GCCAGACCUACUGAGAUUUUCCAACAAUUUCUGUUUUUCGUACUUAUACAGUGACCUCCCCAAUCCACAUGAUGACCCGAAUCAUGAGCUUAAUGAGCACAACUGGAGCAUUGAUACUGGGCGGAUGGAUAUCACACACCCCUGGCACCGUCAAGUCCACAUGCUGCUAAAUUGAAAGCCACAUGCAGCCUCAGUAUGGUUUGGAUGCACUCAUGGGCA
Long non-coding RNA from Stegostoma tigrinum, 219 nucleotides. RefSeq lists it as uncharacterized. NCBI's taxonomy places the organism in Eukaryota, Metazoa, Chordata, Chondrichthyes, Orectolobiformes, Stegostomatidae. The transcript is spliced from 3 exons. The record is from RefSeq and is a predicted model, not a curated record.